This 508-nucleotide ribosomal RNA is filed under the name uncultured bacterium. Its description in RNAcentral is "bacterial SSU rRNA". It matches the Rfam family "Bacterial small subunit ribosomal RNA", at positions 15 to 518 of the family's 1533-position model. The record is from RNAcentral.
GAUCCUGGCUCAGGAUGAACGCUAGCGGCAGGCUUAACACAUGCAAGUCGAGGGGCAACGCGAGUAGCAAUACUUGGCGGCGACCGGCGCAAGGGUGCGUAACGCGUGAGCAACAUGCCCGUAUCAGGGGGAUAAUCCAGGGAAACUUGGUCUAAUACCCCAUAGUAAUUUUGUAAGGCAUCUUAUAAGAUUUAAAGCUUUGGUGGAUACGGAUUGGCUCGCGUGACAUUAGCUGGAUGGUAAGGUAACGGCUUACCAUGGCUAUGAUGUCUAGGGGUUCUGAGAGGAAGGUCCCCCACACUGGAACUGAGACACGGUCCAGACUCCUACGGGAGGCAGCAGUGAGGAAUAUUGGACAAUGGAUGGAAAUCUGAUCCAGCCAUGCCGCGUGAAGGAAGAAGGUCCUAUGGAUUGUAAACUUCUUUUGUAUGGGAGCAAUAAGGCCUACGAGUAGGUUGAUGAGAGUACCAUACGAAUAAGCACCGGCUAACUCCGUGCCAGCCGCUGC